This is an RNA transcript of Molossus molossus (Pallas's mastiff bat), 762 nucleotides long. It is a transcript of the gene named C-X9-C motif containing 1, with no coding region annotated. The record is from RefSeq and is a predicted model, not a curated record. NCBI's taxonomy places the organism in Eukaryota, Metazoa, Chordata, Mammalia, Chiroptera, Molossidae. The transcript is spliced from 4 exons.
AGAAAACACAAGGCUUUGGGAGGAGAAAUGGAUUCAAACUUUGUAGAUUCAGAAAUGAAAAAAAGUCACUUUGAUGGACCUCAAGGAGAAAGAAAAAUACGUGUAGCUGACAACAGAUUUAUUGAACACUUUAUUAUCAAACUACGGAUUCUCAAUUAUUCAACAAUAGCAUGAGCAGCAUCUCAGACAUGUUGAAAAAGAUGUUUUGAUUCCUAAAAUAAUGAGAGAAAAGGCCCGAGAGAGAUGUUCUGAACAAGUUCAAGUGUUUUCAAUCUUCUGACCAAUAGGUGAGGUUCAGUUCCAAAGGAAUUAUAUAAAAUACAAGGAAGCAUGGAUUGUUUGUUUCUUUGAAACAUCAAAGAGCUAUAGUUAAAUGACACAGAAGCUUGAUAAAAUGCCUACCCUUUUCUGACAGACACAACUGAAGUAUGUUACAUUUGCUAAAUUCUAAAGGAAAAGUUGCAAGGUCUGAGGAAGUAAGUCAUGGCAUCUAUAAACUGGUUAGGAACUGAAGUAUAUUAUGAAGUGAAAAUUGAAGCUCAGUUGCCCUCUAGGGGUUCAGUUUUAACACAGCACAUGUAGAGGUAAUUUAAUGAGAUCUUUUCUGGGAGGGGUAGAUCUGCUGAAUAGAGGAGCUCUAUUUUUCAUUUUCUGUUAGAGUGAGACUUGCCAAUAGCAAGCUGUUUUUGACUAUUUAUUGCAAAUGAGAACAUUCCACUUUUGCCACCUAUGCACAGGUUAAUUAAACAUCCUUUUUGGGGU